CGUGCCGGUAGUGGCGCGCGAUGCUCCGCGUGAUGACGUCACGCUAUUUCCCGUUACGCGAUCGCAAGGAGCAUUAGCAUGGCUGCGUUAUCUCUCGUUCUCUCGGGACACCGGACGCGAUCAUCCCUUACAGAUAAUAAUUACCGGUAAGCGCCAUGAACUAGCCUCAUUACGCCACGAACGACUCGUGAGGUUAGAUAACAGCUAUGCCUCGGUACGCGAAUACGCCGAGCAACAAUUCGACGUCCCGGAACGACGUUCGAAGUAGAAAGAGUCCCGUUCGCGUUGUGACGUCUGAAAUACGAUUCGGCUCGCCCUAGAAAUCGGAGCAAUGGCAAACGAUUUUGAAUGCCCGUUUCAUUAAUGUACUUACAUCAAUAAUUUCGUCGAUCUCGUCCGCGACGCCUGACUUACAGCGUACGACGAUGAUUUGCGUGUGUCGUUCUCUGAUCGCGAGCGCGGAGUGAUACACAAAUCGUAGAUCCGUAUGGUUUGACUAACAAAAUGCCACACUGUCGUACAUAAUUAAUUCUUUAAUAAUCGAAAUAUGAGGGGCAUAGCGCGUGACAGAGUAAUAUACUGUACUCGUAUCUUGCAAGAAUACAUAAAAUAAUGCGUAAUAAUGGGCGCGCGAUACUCGACGCUCGUUUUUUUUAUGGCGUAUGCGGCGAUGUUUGUAGGCGUCGCUCGGUCAUCGUUGGCGGCAACGAAAAACUCCGCGGAGUAAUACACAAAUCGUCGAUCCGCGAGGUUUGACUAACAAAAUACCGCACUGUCGUACAUAAUUAAUUGUUUAGUAAUCGAAAUAUGAGGGGUACAGCGCGUGACACGGUAAUAUACUGUACUUGUAUCUUGCAAUAAUACAUAAAAUAAUGCGUAAUAAUGGGCGCGCGAUACUCGACGCUUGUUUUUUUUAUGGUGUAUGCGGCGAUGUUUGUAGGCGUCGCUCGGUCAUCGUUGGCGGCAACGAAACUCCGCGGAGUAAUACACGAAUCGUCGAUCCGCGGGGUUUGACUGACAAAAUGCCGCACUGUCGUACGUAAUUGAUUUUUGAAUAAUCAAACUGUAAGGGGCGCAGUAUAUUGCAGGGUAACAUGCUGUACUUGUAUCUUGUAAGAAUACAUAAAAUAAUGCGUAAUGACGGGCGCGCGACACUCGACGCUCGUUUUUUUUAUGGCGUAUGCGGCGAUGUUUGUAGGCGUCGCUCGGUCAUCGUUGGCGGCAACGAAAAACUCCGCGGAGUAAUACACAAAUCGUCGAUCCGCGAGGUUUGACUAACAAAAUGCCGCACUGUCGUACAUAAUUAAUUUUUUAAUAAUCGAAAUAUGAGAGGCAUAGUGCGUGACAGGGUAAUAUACUGUACUUGUAUCUUGUAAGAAUACAUAAAAUAAUACGUAAUGACGGGCGCGCAACACUCGACGCUUGUUUCGUUCGCGUCGGUUGGUUAAUUAGCGUUUGCGACAACGAAAAACUCCGUCUGCCUAUAUUUUGUUUUGCGGUACGUCGUCGCGGCGAGUAUCAAGACACUCGAUUAUUCCCUAACGUGGAUCCGUGCGAUUGAAUUAGUUCCGCGUUUGAGAAUCGCAUCGCGAUUGUAAUUAACGGUCUUUACGCGAGUGUUGUGUUGUGUGAAAAAAGAGGCUGAGGAACCUGAGAGGAGGAGGAGGCUACCCGGGAAGCUUGAGUGACGGCGGAGCAACCGUAAGUUCAACGUAGUUCGUGUUUCAACUCCGCUGCUGCACAUCGUAUCGUAUCGCUGCAGCUUCGUGGUUGAAUAACUCCGCUCGUUGCGCAUCGGGUCGGUGAGUCAAAAAUCAAUUUUUGUAUUAUAUUUUAAUGUUUUGGAAAUGUCCUGCGCAGGAUUAAAAUAUAAUAUUAU
Solenopsis invicta (red fire ant) is the source of this 1879-nucleotide long non-coding RNA. RefSeq lists it as uncharacterized. Lineage: Eukaryota; Metazoa; Arthropoda; Insecta; Hymenoptera; Formicidae. The transcript has 3 exons. The record is from RefSeq and is a predicted model, not a curated record.